UAUUGCACAAUGGGGGAAACCCUGAUGCAGCGACGCCGCGUGAGUGAAGAAGUAUUUCGGUAUGUAAAGCUCUGUCAGCAGGGAAGAAAAUGUCGGUACCUGAUUAAGAAGCCCCGGCUAACUACGUGCCAGCAGCCGCGGUAAUAUGUAGGGGGGCAAGCGUUAUCCGGAUUUACUGGGUGUAAAGGGAGCGUAGACGGCAGCACAAGUCUGGAGUGAAAUACCGGGGCUAAACCCCGGAACUGCUUUGGAAACUGUGCAGCUAGAGUGCAGGAGAGGUAAGUGGAAUUCCUAGUGUAGCGGUGAAAUGCGUAGAUAUUAGGAGGAACACCAGUGGCGAAGGCGGCUUACUGGACUGUAACUGACGUUGAGGCUCGAAAGCGUGGGGAGCAAACAGG
RNAcentral lists this ribosomal RNA (398 nucleotides) under uncultured bacterium. RNAcentral describes it as "bacterial SSU rRNA". It matches the Rfam family "Bacterial small subunit ribosomal RNA", at positions 362 to 776 of the family's 1533-position model. The record is from RNAcentral.